CAUAAACAAAUGGCAGAAUAAAAUCAUAAUUUAAUGUUGGGAAAAAAGAACCGUCAUACCUUAAAUUUUUGUUUUGAACUGAGUACCGGAUAGCCCACCUGCAACCGUCAACCCAAUCUUGACCACUCAACUCCUUGAGUAGGAGAAGCACCCUCUCCAACUCGCCAUGUAAAUUCCAUAACACAUCCUUGUUAUCCUAAGAAUGUACAAUGAUUGAUGAGUUUUCAGGUUGAAAGUGGAAAGUAUACAAAUUAAUAAUUAAUAAUAAUCUAAAACCCUACCAUGAGACUUACAACAUGCUAUGACCUUUACAAGGUCACUCCAAAAGAGAAACCGUAGAAAGACAACAUAUUUAAACAAACAUACUCGUUCUUCAUAAUAUUCACCGCAAGGUACAUAUGCAUGAAUCAGGGCUACAAAAACUUCUUUUGUCAAGUGGAUUCCAGAUUGUUCCAUCUCUUCAUAAUACUACAAGUAAAUAUUCUAAUUAGCAACUCGAUUAUUGAAAAAUCAAAUAUUAAUCUCAAUACUUGAUUUAAAACUAACGACCAAGUCGCUGAAAGUAUGGGAAUAUAUGGAAUUUUUUUUUUGGAAAGGAAAUUACAUAUACAAGAAAAGGAUAACAAAUGUACAAAGAGAAUAAGCACACCAAAGGUGGCCCAAGGAAAAAACCCCAACAAUAACAUAAAAAGAACAUCUGCAACACUACUAGGGGAACUAAAAAACCAACACCAUCACAAAAACAACAACACAAGAAAUCUCCAUCCCUCAUGGUGCCCAAAACAAAUGAAGAAUGGACCAAGCCAACCCCACCAGAGAGAUAAGACACAUGAAAUCAGGAGUCGAACCAAAAACCCCGUUCAGAGGCCCCCACAAACUUGAAUAUAUGAAAUUAUUAAACUCAACUUACUUUCUUAAUCUCUUCUUUUGUUUCACAAUUUUCAAUCAAAUAGCUGAAAGUGUAUGAAUCGAGCUUUACGUUGGCAUCUCGCAUUUGUUUGAGAACCUCCAACCCACCAAUUUUGUUUUUCUACAAUAUCGAUAAAAGUGAGAAUAUGAAAGAACUAUUUUAAAUAGAUUUCAUACACUCAUUUAAAUAUAUUUUUUAAUGAAUGAAAUCAUUAAGAGAGAGAAGCUUUCAUAGUUGAAAAUCUGAGUGAGAGCACAAUCCAACAAGGCUAAAAUAUGGUUUUGGUUUUAGUCCCUGUAAAAAAAAAUUGUUGUGCCACGUGUGCAAAUCAUCACAAAAGUGGAGCCAACGACCAAAACCAAAAUGAUGCAUAUUUGCAGGGACCAAAAACAACAAAAAAAAUUUGCAUGGACUAAAACCAAAACAAGGCAUAUUUGCAAGAACCAAAACUAUAUUUUAGCCAUCCAACAAUGAUACCUCGAAAAAAUAUCCUGCCAUAAUGGCAUUAUACAUGGUUGUUUUGUAUUUGAAAUACUUUUUCUGCAAUUCAUUAACCAUCUUGUACGCACAUUCAAACUGCAUAAUGAAAGUAAAUACAUUAUCAGGUUAGUAAAAAGCUUUCUUUCAAAGGAUAUUAUUGUAGAAAACAAGCAUACAUUAAGAAAUAAAAAAGGUAAAACUUACAUCUUUCAUCACUACACAACAGUGUACCAAAAGCCAGCAAAUCUUUCCAUUUAACUCGAAAUGGUGGGGAUGGCGACUCAUGAUGGAAUAGAUUUCAAAAACCUUGAUUUUCAAUAUAGCAAAAGGAAUAGAAAAUGAACAAACAGAUUUUAGUAAAACUAGACAAACAAGAAACAAUGCUUCAAUUAAGGGGAAAAAAGGAAUCAUAAAUUUCAUUAUGUAAUUGUAAAAGUUUAAGGGUGAGCCUUGGAGAAACCGUAAAGUUGUUGUCACAUGACUGAAAGAAAGGUCAAGAGUUCAAGUCCUUCAAAUACGCUUUGAAAAACUAUUCCGCUGCUAUGUUUUGAUAUUUUAUGAAGUUGUUUUAAUUAAAUAGUAUUUUAUUCUAUUAAAUUUUGAAAAGUAGUGUGACAUGCCCGUCCGGGUUAAACUCUGAUUAUUUAUUAUUAUUAUUAAGUUUGGGAUAACGGGGUGUUACAAUAGUUUCUCUUAUAGUUUUUCCAGGUCUUCCACUACCUCAACAGGGAAGCUGCUUUAAGUAAGAAGAUAUAUAGUACCCGAAAAUGUUGAUCAGUUUCCGAACAAGUCUCUAAUAAAGAUUGCAUUGCAUGACUAGAGAGCGUAAGGCCUGCUUCAGACAUUACAUCAACCAAAUCAAUAGCUACAUCCACCUGCAUAAGUGAAAAAGAAAAAAUGAAAUGCAGUUUUGAAAAAUGAUGGUAACAGAAAAUAGAAUGAAGAGAGAAUUCGAUAUGAAGGGAGCAAACGUCCUAUUAUCGUUUCUCAUGGAUAACCGUAAUAUGAGAAUGAAUAAAGGACAAAAUUAUACCUUAUCCACAGUGGCAAUGUAAUACAAUACUAGCUUUUCAUACAUAGAGGAAGCAGGCAAAAUUUCACCAGUCAAAUUCUCCAUCUUUCUUAUGAUAUGAUCAACCUUAAAAUUAGCAACAUACCAUCUAAUGUCUAUACUUUUCAACGCAUCCGAAAUCAGUGUCUUGCGGUCACUUUCGCUUUCACAAAGCUGUGUCCUCCUCUCAAUUGUUUCCUCUUGUCUCAUUGAAGCGUAGUCAAGAAGCUUAAGCUUCUUCUCAACAGGAGGAGCUACAUUUGAAUUGAGUCUAACAGUCAAUUUCACAAAACAGUCGCUGUUCAUUAUAAAUUUAUAAUAUAGAAGAAAACUAAAACUAAGAUACGCAUUAGUUUUAGAUACCUGUAGAAGAAGCAUCAUGGAGUUUGCGGGAGGAGAGAAUCAGGUUCCAUGAAGAUGAUGUUCUGCGAAAGUUUUGUAGAUCUGAACCGAAAUAAUAGCUACGAACCCGUAGUUCUUUUAGGCAAAAGGCGAGCAUCUUUGAGCUGCACACUCACAGCUGAGGCAAGGUGAGUUUUGUAGAUCUGAAUCGGAAAUUUGUAGAAACGGGUGGAAUCGCCGUGAACAGUUAGAUCGAUCGAGUUUUGCUAGAGAUACAAAGGUGCGUCUAGGUUAACCUUUUAAGUGGUGGGAUAAGGAUGCUAUCUGGAUCCUCUCCCAUGUAUUCUCCUGCCUUCAAUCCUGCGCUAAUCUCAACCGUUGGAUUAAUCCCGAGAGACAAAAUGCUGACAUAAAAUAAAUUAGGGUUAAUAAUAUUUUUCAUCUUUAUAAUAUAUGUUAUCUUUUGUUUUUGCCUCUAUAAAUUUUUUGAUUUGAUUUGCAUAAACUUUUUUCUCAGAAAACACCCCUCCUCCAUCCAACUCAUCAAAUGUGCAUAUAUGACACUGACUUGAUUUUUUUUUUUAAAUUAUUUAUUUUUAAUUGUCCACAUCAGAUUUUAUUUUUUAAAAUAUUUAAAAAUUGACAAAACGAUAAAAAAAAAUUCAAAAUUUUUCGGUUUUUUUUUCGAAAUUCAAAUAUUAAAAAAAUCAUAAAAAAUAUUCGGUUUUUUUCAAAAUUAAAUUGUUUUUAAAGAUUCCGGAGUUCAAUUUUCAAAAUAAAAAAAAUUUAAAAUUAGAAAAAACAAAUUUGAAAUUUAAAAAAAUAAUAAUAAUAAUUUAUUUUUCGUAAAUAAAAAAUUUCCUAAAUUUGUUUAUUUUCAAAAUUUAAUUUUUAAAUUAUUUUUAUUUCUAAAUUAAUAUAAAUGAAUUUAUAUUAUAUUUUUUAAAAAAAUAGGCACAAAUGUCACGUGUACCCUUAAAAAAUAAAAAAAAAUAAUUAAUUAUACAUACAACACGCCGCCUAAGCAUAUAUGCACAGUCAGCAUGCCACACAAUGUAUCACGUCAGCAAAUAUGCACAGUCAUAUGGGGGAUGAGUGUUUUUCGAAAAAUAAAAGUUUUACAAGGAUGCAAAUCAAACCGAAAAUUUUAUAAGGGCGAAAACUAAAAAUGAGAUGUAUUACAAAGGUGAAAAGUACUUGAUUGACCAUAAUGUCAGCAGAUUUGUGAUCUCUUGUGGCCAAAAGUACUUGAUACAUACUACAACCAUAAAGUAAAAUCAUAAGGAGAAGGAAAAUAUUAUAAUAAAGGGAAAAAAUAGCAUGAAGGUUAGAAGCCCACCUCAAGUAGCUAAAUGUAGUAUACAAACAUUUGGCAGAUGCAUAUUCUCUCCAAACCAAAUUAGCAUUAUUCAAAUCUUCUGAUAGGGCACAAAGUUUUAGGAGUACAUCAAGACACGUUUGUGAAGGAACAAGACCAAGCUCUUUUUUUAUUAGAUCCAGCAAGUCCAAUUCAAAUUGCAAAUAUGUGGUGGACCCACUUUCCAACAUUAGAAAAUACGCCUAUACAUACAUGAGACCAAUAUGUCAUGCUUUAUACACGCAUAAAUAUUAAACCAAAAUUUAAUUCUUAUAAUCCAAAUUCUUAUUCAAGUCAUAAGGAAACAAAAACUUACUUCAUCAACAUUAAAAACCAGUUUUUUAAUUACUUCCGAAAUAUAAAGGAUCACUUCUUUCGGGUGCAUCAUUUUUGUAAUAAUCCUUGAGUUGUUUAAACAGUUCAAUGGUAGAACUGCAAAAUAUAAAAUGAACAUAAACAAAUGGCAGAAUAAAAUCAUAAUUUAAUAUUGAGAAAAAAGAACCGUCAUACAUUAAAUUUUUGUUUUGAACUGAGUACCGGAUAGCCCACCUGCAACCGUCAACCCAAUCUUGACCACUCAACUCCUUGAGUAGGAGAAGCACCCUCUCCAACUCGCCAUGUAAAUUUCAUAACACAUCCUUGUUAUCCUAAGAAUGUACAAUGAUCGAUGAGUUUUAAGGUUGAAAGUGGAAAGUAUACAAAUUAAUAAUUAAUAAUAAUCUAAAACCCUACCAUGAGACUUACAACAUGUUAUGACCUUUACAAGGUCACUCCAAAAGAGAAACCGUAGAAAGACAACAUAUUUACACAAAUAUACUUGUUCUUCAUAAUAUUCACCGCAAGGUACAUAUGCAUGAAUCAGGGCUACAAAAACUUCUUUUGUCAAGUGGAUUCCAGAUUGUUCCAUCUCUUCAUAAUACUACAAGUAAAUAUUAUAAUUAGCAACUCGAUUAUUGAAAAAUCAAAUAUUAAUCUCAAUACUUGAUUUAAAACUAACGACCAAGUCGCUGAAAGUAUGGGAAUAUAUG
RNAcentral lists this long non-coding RNA (5168 nucleotides) under Medicago truncatula (barrel medic). RNAcentral describes it as "long non-coding RNA (MTRU_LNC002666)". The stretch from base 1995 to 2078 matches the Rfam family "MIR2617 microRNA precursor family". Lineage: Eukaryota; Viridiplantae; Streptophyta; Magnoliopsida; Fabales; Fabaceae. The record is from RNAcentral.